CGGGGUGUAGUCCAACGGUAGGACGUACCCUUGGGGUGGGUAAAGCCGGAGUUCGACUCUCCGCACUCCGA
This 71-nucleotide transfer RNA is filed under the name Candidatus Falkowbacteria bacterium RIFOXYA2_FULL_38_12. RNAcentral describes it as "tRNA-Pro". It matches the Rfam family "tRNA". Rfam says of the family: Transfer RNA (tRNA) molecules are approximately 80 nucleotides in length. Their secondary structure includes four short double-helical elements and three loops (D, anti-codon, and T loops). RNAcentral also lists the same sequence under 4 other names. The record is from RNAcentral. Lineage: Bacteria; Candidatus Falkowiibacteriota.